ACCCUUGUGGAGGAGGACGCCGAAGGUGGGGCUAAUGACUGGGGUGAAGUCGUAACAAGGUAGCCGUACCGGAAGGUGCGGCUGGAUCACCUCCUAACAGGGAGACAACAAAAUGUUUUGUAUUAUUUUGUCACCUUAGGUCGAUCGGUACCUCACGUUCUUAAUUUAUUAAGAAUUUCAUUUCCUAAGUUUUUCUAGGUCACACCCAUUAUUUUUCCUGGGCCAUUAGCUCAGGUGGUUAGAGCGCACCCCUGAUAAGGGUGAGGUCCCUGGUUCAAGUCCAGGAUGGCCCAUAUCUCUAUGUUGGGGGUAUAGCUCAGUUGGUAGAGCGCCUGCUUUGCAAGCAGGAUGUCAGCGGUUCGAGUCCGCUUACCUCCACUGAUUACCACCUCUUCCAUAAUCUUUAUAAAGGAAAUGUUUUGAGUUGUGAUCAUAUUCUGAACGAAUCUAGCUUCCUAAUAAAUUAUUAAGAUGCUGGACUCAUUGAAUUAAUUUCAUUGUUUUCAGAGAACCUUGACAACUGCAUAGAUUAUUUUAAAGACAAUAAGCAUUUUAAUGAUGCAGAUUUAUUAUUUAUGCGAAUGCAUUAAUAACAAUUCUAUUAAGCUGAUGCUUCAAUUUUGAAGUUAUUGGUCAAGCUACAAAGGGCUCACGGAGGAUACCUAGGCACAC
This 672-nucleotide unclassified non-coding RNA is filed under the name uncultured Prochlorococcus sp. RNAcentral's name for it is "partial may contain 16S ribosomal RNA, 16S-23S ribosomal RNA intergenic spacer, and 23S ribosomal RNA". The stretch from base 1 to 97 matches the Rfam family "Bacterial small subunit ribosomal RNA", at positions 1437 to 1533 of the family's 1533-position model. Lineage: Bacteria; Bacillati; Cyanobacteriota; Cyanophyceae; Synechococcales; Prochlorococcaceae. The record is from RNAcentral.